CGGCGGACGGGUGAGUAACACGUGGGUAACCUACCUAUAAGACUGGGAUAACUUCGGGAAACCGGAGCUAAUACCGGAUAACAUUUAGAACCGCAUGGUUCUAAAGUGAAAGAUGGUUUUGCUAUCACUUAUAGAUGGACCCGCGCCGUAUUAGCUAGUUGGUAAGGUAACGGCUUACCAAGGCGACGAUACGUAGCCGACCUGAGAGGGUGAUCGGCCACACUGGAACUGAGACACGGUCCAGACUCCUACGGGAGGCAGGCAGUAGGGAAUUCUUCCGCAAUGGGCGAAAUGCCUGACAGGAGCAACGUCCGCGUGAGUGAUGAAGGGUUUCGGCUCGUAAAACUCCUGUUAUUAGGGAAGAACAAAUUGUGUAAGUAACUGUGCACAUCUUGACGGUACCUAAUCAGAAAGCCACGGCUAACUACGUGCCAGCAGCCGCGGUAAUACGUAGGUGGCAAGCGUUAUCCGGAAUUAUUGGGCGUAAAGCGCGCGUAGGCGGUUUCUUAAGUCUGAUGUGAAAGCCCACGGCUCAACCGUGGAGGGUCAUUGGAAACUGGGAAACUUGAGUGCAGAAGAGGAAAGUGGAAUUCCAUGUGUAGCGGUGAAAUGCGCAGAGAUAUGGAGGAACACCAGUGGCGAAGGCGACUUUCUGGUCUGUAACUGACGCUGAUGUGCGAAAGCGUGGGGAUCAAACAGGAUUAGAUACCCUGGUAGUCCACGCUCGUAAACGAUGAGUGCUAAGUGUUACGGGGGUUUCCCGCCCCUUAGUGCUGCAGCUAACGCAUUAAGCACUCCGCCUGGGGUAGUACGACCGCAAGGUUGAAACUCGAAAGGAAUUGACGGGUGACCCGCACAGAGCUGGUGGAAGCAUGCUUGGUUUAAUUCUGAAGCAACGCGAAGAAUCCUUUACCCAAAUCUUGACCAUCCCUUUUGAAAACUCAUAGAGAUAGAGUCCUUCACCCUUCGGGGGACAAGAGUUGACAGGUGGUGACAAUGGUUCGUCGUCAGCUACGUGAUCGUGGAUGAUGUCUGUGGUUAAAGUACCCGCAACGGAGCGCAACCUCUUAAGCUCUAUGUCUGCGUUCUAUUCAUCUAAGUUGGGCACGUCUAUGGCUUUGUACCUGCACGAGUGAACAAACCGGUAGGCAAGCGUGGGGGGCAUGACGGUACAAAUCAUCAUGCCCCUUAUGAUUUGGGCUACACACGUGCUACAAUGGACAAUACAAAGGGCAGCUAAACCGCGAGGUCAUGCAAAUCCCAUAAAGUUGUUCUCAGUUCGGAUUGUAGUCUGCAACUCGACUACAUGAAGCUGGAAUCGCUAGUAAUCGUAGAUCAGCAUGCUACGGUGAAUACGUUCCCGGGUCUUGUACACACCGCCCGUCACACCACGAGAGUUUGUAACACCCGAAGCCGGUGG
This 1420-nucleotide ribosomal RNA is filed under the name Staphylococcus sp. YNUTCM YJ230. Its description in RNAcentral is "bacterial SSU rRNA". It matches the Rfam family "Bacterial small subunit ribosomal RNA", at positions 96 to 1433 of the family's 1533-position model. Lineage: Bacteria; Bacillati; Bacillota; Bacilli; Caryophanales; Staphylococcaceae. The record is from RNAcentral.